This 368-nucleotide ribosomal RNA is filed under the name uncultured organism. RNAcentral's name for it is "bacterial SSU rRNA". It matches the Rfam family "Bacterial small subunit ribosomal RNA", at positions 526 to 896 of the family's 1533-position model. The record is from RNAcentral.
CGGAGGGUGCAAGCGUUAUCCGGAUUCACUGGGUUUAAAGGGUGCGUAGGCGGAUUAGUAAGUCCGUGGUGAAAUCUCCGAGCUUAACUCGGAAACUGCCGUGGAUACUAUUAGUCUUGAAUGUUGUGGAGGUUAGCGGAAUAUGUCAUGUAGCGGUGAAAUGCAUAGAUAUGACAUAGAACACCAAUUGCGAAGGCAGCUGGCUACACAAAUAUUGACGCUGAUGCACGAAAGCGUGGGGAUCAAACAGGAUUAGAUACCCUGGUAGUCCACGCCCUAAACGAUGAUUACUCGACAUUUGCGAUAUACAGUAAGUGUCUGAGCGAAAGCAUUAAGUAAUCCACCUGGGAAGUACGACCGCAAGGUUG